RNAcentral lists this ribosomal RNA (369 nucleotides) under uncultured bacterium. RNAcentral describes it as "bacterial SSU rRNA". It matches the Rfam family "Bacterial small subunit ribosomal RNA", at positions 1023 to 1392 of the family's 1533-position model. The record is from RNAcentral.
UGGACGCUAAGACAGGUGGUGCAUGGCUGUCGUCAGCUCGUGUCGUGAGAUGUUGGGUUAACGUCCCGCAACGAGCGCAACCCUUGUUAUUAGUUGCCAGCAUUAAGUUGGGCACUCUAAUGAGACUGCCGGUGACAAACCGGAGGAAGGUGGGGAUGACGUCAAGUCAUCAUGCCCCUUAUGACCUGGGCUACACACGUGCUACAAUGGGCAGUACAACGAGAAGCAAGCCUGCGAAGGCAAGCGAAUCUCUGAAAGCUGUUCUCAGUUCGGACUGCAGUCUGCAACUCGACUGCACGAAGCUGGAAUCGCUAGUAAUCGCGGAUCAGCACGCCGCGGUGAAUACGUUCCCGGGUCUUGUACACACCG